This 271-nucleotide ribosomal RNA is filed under the name uncultured prokaryote. Its description in RNAcentral is "partial 16S ribosomal RNA". It matches the Rfam family "Bacterial small subunit ribosomal RNA", at positions 524 to 794 of the family's 1533-position model. The record is from RNAcentral.
UACGUAGGUGGCGAGCGUUGUCCGGAUUUACUGGGCGUAAAGGGAGCGUAGGCGGACUUUUAAGUGAGAUGUGAAAUACCCGGGCUUAACUUGGGUGCUGCAUUUCAAACUGGAAGUCUAGAGUGCAGGAGAGGAGAAUGGAAUUCCUAGUGUAGCGGUGAAAUGCGUAGAGAUUAGGAAGAACACCAGUGGCGAAGGCGAUUCUCUGGACUGUAACUGACGCUGAGGCUCGAAAGUGUGGGGAACAAACAGGAUUAGAUACCCUGGUAGU